RNAcentral lists this ribosomal RNA (910 nucleotides) under Psychrobacter pulmonis. RNAcentral describes it as "bacterial SSU rRNA". It matches the Rfam family "Bacterial small subunit ribosomal RNA", at positions 555 to 1464 of the family's 1533-position model. The record is from RNAcentral. Lineage: Bacteria; Pseudomonadati; Pseudomonadota; Gammaproteobacteria; Moraxellales; Moraxellaceae.
UGGGCGUAAAGCGAGCGUAGGUGGCUUGAUAAGUCAGAUGUGAAAGCCCCGGGCUUAACCUGGGAACGGCAUCUGAUACUGUUAGGCUAGAGUAGGUGAGAGGAAGGUAGAAUUCCAGGUGUAGCGGUGAAAUGCGUAGAGAUCUGGAGGAAUACCGAUGGCGAAGGCAGCCUUCUGGCAUCAUACUGACACUGAGGUUCGAAAGCGUGGGUAGCAAACAGGAUUAGAUACCCUGGUAGUCCACGCCGUAAACGAUGUCUACUAGUCGUUGGGUCCCUUGAGGACUUAGUGACGCAGCUAACGCAAUAAGUAGACCGCCUGGGGAGUACGGCCGCAAGGUUAAAACUCAAAUGAAUUGACGGGGGCCCGCACAAGCGGUGGAGCAUGUGGUUUAAUUCGAUGCAACGCGAAGAACCUUACCUGGUCUUGACAUAUCUAGAAUCCUGCAGAGAUGCGGGAGUGCCUUCGGGAAUUAGAAUACAGGUGCUGCAUGGCUGUCGUCAGCUCGUGUCGUGAGAUGUUGGGUUAAGUCCCGCAACGAGCGCAACCCUUGUCCUUAGUUACCAGCGGUUUGGCCGGGAACUCUAAGGAUACUGCCAGUGACAAACUGGAGGAAGGCGGGGACGACGUCAAGUCAUCAUGGCCCUUACGACCAGGGCUACACACGUGCUACAAUGGUAGGUACAGAGGGCAGCUACACAGCGAUGUGAUGCGAAUCUCAAAAAGCCUAUCGUAGUCCAGAUUGGAGUCUGCAACUCGACUCCAUGAAGUAGGAAUCGCUAGUAAUCGCGGAUCAGAAUGCCGCGGUGAAUACGUUCCCGGGCCUUGUACACACCGCCCGUCACACCAUGGGAGUUGAUGCACCAGAAGUGGUUAGCCUAACCUUUUAGGAAGGCGAUCACCCACGGGG